Molecule: long non-coding RNA, 375 nt
Filed under: Fukomys damarensis (Damara mole-rat)
Lineage: Eukaryota; Metazoa; Chordata; Mammalia; Rodentia; Bathyergidae
Description: lncRNA (ENSFDAG00000027093.1)
Source: RNAcentral
AAACUAUCCCAGUUUAUAAUGAGGCAAUAUUUUCUCUUUCUCUCCCUCAGGAAGCAAUAUCUUUCCUUGCAGUUUUUGGCAUGAAAAAGCAGUAGCAAGGUUGAGUUUGUGCCUUCCCACAAGCCUCAGUGUUUACAGAGCUACAGUCUCCUAUAGAGGUCCACAGACAAACCCUGGAAGCCGAAAGAGUGGAAACAAAGUUUCUAAUAGCAUCAUUAUUCCCUACUCAACUGAUGGUGGAGAAACCUUAGAAAAUAAGAUGCACUGGGCUGAGUUUGACAAUGUUCACUGGCUUCUCCAGGGCUGCCAAGCUCUCUACCACACAGGAGGCUUUUGAGCUUUCAGAACUGCAGCAGCUCCUAUUGAAUGGAAAAC